AGGCAGCAGUGGGGAAUCUUGCACAAUGGGGGAAACCCUGAUGCAGCGACGCCGCGUGAGUGAUGAAGCCCUUCGGGGUGUAAAGCUCUUUCGGCAGGGACGAUAAUGACGGUACCUGAAGAAGAAGCUGCGGCUAACUACGUGCCAGCAGCCGCGGUAAUACGUAGGCAGCGAGCGUUGUUCGGAGUUACUGGGCGUAAAGAGUGCGUAGGCGGUUUUAUAAGUUUGGUGUGAAAUCUCCCGGCUUAACUGGGAGGGUGCGCCGAAGACUGGAAGGCUUGAGUAUGGGAGAGGUAAGCGGAAUUCCUGGUGUAGCGGUGAAAUGCGUAGAUAUCAGGAGGAACACCUGCGGUGUAGACGGCUUACUGGACCAUAACUGACGCUGAGGCACGAAAGCGUGGGUAGCAAACAGGAUUAGAUACCCUGGUAGUCCACGCCCUAAACGAUGCAUACUUGGUGUGGGUAGUUCAUUCUAUCCGUGCCGGAGCUAACGCG
RNAcentral lists this ribosomal RNA (495 nucleotides) under uncultured Bryobacterales bacterium. RNAcentral describes it as "bacterial SSU rRNA". It matches the Rfam family "Bacterial small subunit ribosomal RNA", at positions 346 to 859 of the family's 1533-position model. The record is from RNAcentral. Lineage: Bacteria; Pseudomonadati; Acidobacteriota; Terriglobia; Bryobacterales.